Thalassophryne amazonica is the source of this 164-nucleotide long non-coding RNA. RefSeq lists it as uncharacterized. The record is from RefSeq and is a predicted model, not a curated record. Lineage: Eukaryota; Metazoa; Chordata; Actinopteri; Batrachoidiformes; Batrachoididae. The transcript has 3 exons.
GGAGGGAGAAGGCUGGAGUUCCUUGGGCAGGGUCGGGAGGGCGUUUGCACAGGAGCCAGAGGUCGCCAUCUCCUAGGAAACAAACAAAACACAGUCAUAAUGUAUAAUGCAGCAGGAUUCACAGGUUCCAACACAGCACACACACACACACACACACACACACA